CAAUAGCGUAUACUAAAGUUGUUGCAGUUAAAAAGCUCGUAGUUGAAUUUCUGGUCUCGGACAUCGGUCUGCCUCGAACGAGGUACGUACCAGUUGUCUGAAUCCAUCCUCGGGGAAAACAUGUCUGGCAUUCAGUUGUUGGGCAUGGGAUCCUCGUCAUUUACUGUGAGCAAAAUAGAGUGUUCAAAGCAGGCUUAUGCCGUUGAAUACAUUAGCAUGGAAUAAUAAGAUAGGACCUUGGUCUAUUUUGUUGGUUUGUACUCCAAGGUAAUGAUUAAUAGGGAUAGUUGGGGGUAUUCGUAUUCAAUUGUCAGAGGUGAAAUUCUUGGAUUUAUGGAAGACGAACUACUGCGAAAGCAUUUACCAAGGAUGUUUUCAUUAAUCAAGAACGAAAGUUAGGGGAUCAAAGACGAUCAGAUACCAU
RNAcentral lists this ribosomal RNA (424 nucleotides) under uncultured eukaryote. RNAcentral describes it as "SSU rRNA". It matches the Rfam family "Eukaryotic small subunit ribosomal RNA", at positions 592 to 1018 of the family's 1831-position model. The record is from RNAcentral.